UCGCCCACCGAGGCACCGACCCGACCCCAACCUUGGAGCUGCUGUGCCCCGGCGGUCCGUCUCUGGCCAGAGCUCCGCCACCGCCCGCCGAUCAGAGCUCCGCCUCCGAGACGACGCGCCUCCCCCCAGUGGCUCAGGCCGCCUGCCCGCCUGGCAGGACGCCGCGCCGAGCUCUUUCCCGGCAGCUGCUCGCCCGCGCCGAUCUUUUCUUCGGCAACCGCGCGCCCGCGUCGAGCUCCUCCCCGUCCCCGGCAGCCGCGCGCCAGCGCCGAGCUCCUCCCCGCGGAUCCGCCUCUGCUCAGUCUGAGCUCCGGCCAGCCGCGAGCUCCGUCGAGGCGUCGACGCCGAGGCCCAGCUCCGCCCGUGAGUGCCUGUGCCGGAUUCAGCAAACAGAAAUUUGCUCUGCUGGUUAGAUAGAUGGAGGUGCCAAUGAACACCACGCAAUCUGGUCCUCACUUCCCUGUGCAGCAUCGGUCCCUCUCGUUAGACAUCAAGGGAAAUAAAACAGAUAUUGUUAUCAAUAAAUACGAAGAUACCUUUCUGGUGAUUGUGACCCAAAUCGGCUGCAUGGGAACCAUACUAGCUGCCAAGAAAGAUGAAAGUGUUUUCUCCGACCCAACCUACAACGUGUCUGUUCUUUUUGGGAAGAGAGAUGAGCCACUCCUACUAGCUUGCGCACGUCAACUUAUUGAGCACAUAAGUGGCAGUGGCUCAGCCCGGUCAUUGGUGAUUUCUCUGGGUCUGAAAGAUCAUUCUCAGGGAACGCUGAAGGAUAUUACUGUAGCUGUGAUCGAGAAUCGCCUUUGGUGAUGAUUGAAUAGCUGAGCUGGGCAUGGGAACGCUGAAAGAUACUGUUUAGCAUUGCGCAAUAGGAGCCAUCGUUUAUACCAUGCACUAAAUUCUGGUACUUUUGUAGUUAGACCUUCUAUCUACUGGGAUUAACAAAAGGUGGGUUUAAGCUGCUGUCAAAAUUGG
RNAcentral lists this unclassified non-coding RNA (975 nucleotides) under Zea mays. Its description in RNAcentral is "misc RNA Zm00001eb431110". The record is from RNAcentral. Lineage: Eukaryota; Viridiplantae; Streptophyta; Magnoliopsida; Poales; Poaceae.